RNAcentral lists this ribosomal RNA (465 nucleotides) under Vreelandella stevensii. RNAcentral's name for it is "partial 16S ribosomal RNA". It matches the Rfam family "Bacterial small subunit ribosomal RNA", at positions 338 to 795 of the family's 1533-position model. The record is from RNAcentral. Lineage: Bacteria; Pseudomonadati; Pseudomonadota; Gammaproteobacteria; Oceanospirillales; Halomonadaceae.
CCUACGGGGUGCAGCAGUGGGGAAUAUUGGACAAUGGGCGAAAGCCUGAUCCAGCCAUGCCGCGUGUGUGAAGAAGGCCUUCGGGUUGUAAAGCACUUUCAGUGGGGAAGAAAGCCUUGGGGCUAAUACCCUCGAGGAAGGACAUCACCCACAGAAGAAGCACCGGCUAACUCCGUGCCAGCAGCCGCGGUAAUACGGAGGGUGCGAGCGUUAAUCGGAAUUACUGGGCGUAAAGCGCGCGUAGGCGGUCUGAUAAGCCGGUUGUGAAAGCCCCGGGCUCAACCUGGGAACGGCAUCCGGAACUGUCAGGCUAGAGUGCAGGAGAGGAAGGUAGAAUUCCCGGUGUAGCGGUGAAAUGUGUAGAGAUCGGGAGGAAUACCAGUGGCGAAGGCGGCCUUCUGGACUGACACUGACGCUGAGGUGCGAAAGCGUGGGUAGCAAACAGGAUUAGAUACCCUAGUAGUC